RNAcentral lists this ribosomal RNA (433 nucleotides) under uncultured bacterium. RNAcentral describes it as "partial 16S ribosomal RNA". It matches the Rfam family "Bacterial small subunit ribosomal RNA", at positions 29 to 507 of the family's 1533-position model. The record is from RNAcentral.
AAUGAACGCUGGCGGCAUGCCUAACACAUGCAAGUCGAACGAGACCUUCGGGUCUAGCGGCGCUCGGGUGCGUACCGCGGGGGAACCUGCCCUUAGGUUCGGUAUACCUUCCCGAAAGGGGUGCUAAUGCCGGAUAAUGUCUUCCGACCAAAGAGUUUGCGCCUUUGGAUGGGCCGGCGUUGGCUUAGCUAGUUGGUAGGGUAAACGGCUACCCAGGUGACGAUCCAUAGCUGGGCGGAGAGGGAGAUCAGCCACACUGGGAAUGAGACACGGCCACGACGCCUACAGGAGGGAGCAGUGGGGAAUAAUGGACAAUAGGCGAAAGCAUCAUCCAGCAAUGCGGCGUGAGGGAUUAAGGGCUUAGGGUUGUAAAGCCCUUUUACCCAGGAUGAUAGUGACAGUAGCGGGAGAAGAAGCUCCGGCUAACUCCGUG